Long non-coding RNA from Raphanus sativus (radish), 456 nucleotides. RefSeq lists it as uncharacterized. NCBI's taxonomy places the organism in Eukaryota, Viridiplantae, Streptophyta, Magnoliopsida, Brassicales, Brassicaceae. The record is from RefSeq and is a predicted model, not a curated record. The transcript is spliced from 2 exons.
AAGAAUCUCCCACUAUGUCUCAUUAAAUCUCCCAUUGCCACUCUGUCAAUGGGAUCUCUUCUUAUAAAUUGAAACGAAGUCUCCCGUUUUUCUCAUCAAUGGCUCCACCACAUUUCAGAUUAGUUUAUUGUUUACCAUGUCACUGUUCGUAGAAUGGUUUACGGUUGUAAGUAGAAGAUUUGCAGGAUCCAUGUAUAUCUAAACAAAGAAGGAGAUUCUUAGCUCGAGAUUAUCUUUAACCCUGAUAUAAGAAGUGGGAUCGAAGCUGCCGAAAACACAGGUGAGAUUCAAAGGAUCGUGAGGCACAUAUUGAAGCUUCACUGAGAAUAUAUUUUAGUCUUAUCCUACUUCAAAGUAAUUUUUAUUCUGUGUGACUUGCUACAUAUAACUGAUCGUGUAGAGAUUGAGAAAAAUGGUUAUGAAAGUGCUCUUUGAAUUCUCAAAGCAGCUUGAGCA